UGGGGAAUAUUGGACAAUGGGCGGAAGCCUGAUCCAGCCAUGCCGCGUGUGUGAAGAAGGCCUUUUGGGUGUAAAGCACUUUAAGCGAGGAGGAGGCUACUUGGAUUAAUACUCUAGGAUAGUGGACGUUACUCGCAGAAUAAGCACCGGCUAACUCUGUGCCAGCAGCCGCGGUAAUACAGAGGGUGCGAGCGUUAAUCGGAUUUACUGGGCGUAAAGCGUGCGUAGGCGGCUUCUUAAGUCGGAUGUGAAAUCCCUGAGCUUAACUUAGGAAUUGCAUUCGAUACUGGGAAGCUAGAGUAUGGGAGAGGAUGGUAGAAUUCCAGGUGUAGCGGUGAAAUGCGUAGAGAUCUGGAGGAAUACCGAUGGCGAAGGCAGCCAUCUGGCCUAAUACUGACGCUGAGGUACGAAAGCAUGGGGAGCAAACAGG
Molecule: ribosomal RNA, 430 nt
Filed under: Acidobacteriota bacterium
Lineage: Bacteria; Pseudomonadati; Acidobacteriota
Description: Acidobacteria bacterium partial 16S ribosomal RNA
Rfam family: Bacterial small subunit ribosomal RNA
Source: RNAcentral